CGUGUAGGCGGGUCUUUAAGUCAGGGGUGAAAUGCCAAGGCUCAACCUUGGAACUGCCUUUGAUACUGGAGAUCUUGAGUCCGGGAGAGGUGAGUGGAACUGCGAGUGUAGAGGUGAAAUUCGUAGAUAUUCGCAAGAACACCAGUGGCGAAGGCGGCUCACUGGCCCGGAACUGACGCUGAGACGCGAAAGCGUGGGGAGCAAACAGGAUUAGAUACCCUGGUAGUCCACGCUGUAAACGAUGGAUGCUAGCCGUUGGGGAGCUUGCUCUUCAGUGGCGCCGCUAACGCAUUAAGCAUCCCGCCUGGGGAGUACGGUCGCAAGAUUAAA
RNAcentral lists this ribosomal RNA (330 nucleotides) under uncultured bacterium. RNAcentral describes it as "bacterial SSU rRNA". It matches the Rfam family "Bacterial small subunit ribosomal RNA", at positions 568 to 898 of the family's 1533-position model. The record is from RNAcentral.